RNAcentral lists this ribosomal RNA (304 nucleotides) under Streptomyces sp. SCC96. Its description in RNAcentral is "bacterial SSU rRNA". It matches the Rfam family "Bacterial small subunit ribosomal RNA", at positions 1120 to 1425 of the family's 1533-position model. The record is from RNAcentral. Lineage: Bacteria; Bacillati; Actinomycetota; Actinomycetes; Kitasatosporales; Streptomycetaceae.
UUCGGAGGUUGGGGACUCACGGGAGACCGCCGGGGUCAACUCGGAGGAAGGUGGGGACGACGUCAAGUCAUCAUGCCCCUUAUGUCUUGGGCUGCACACGUGCUACAAUGGCCGGUACAAUGAGCUGCGAUACCGCAAGGUGGAGCGAAUCUCAAAAAGCCGGUCUCAGUUCGGAUUGGGGUCUGCAACUCGACCCCAUGAAGUCGGAGUCGCUAGUAAUCGCAGAUCAGCAUUGCUGCGGUGAAUACGUUCCCGGGCCUUGUACACACCGCCCGUCACGUCACGAAAGUCGGUAACACCCGAA